This 492-nucleotide ribosomal RNA is filed under the name uncultured bacterium. Its description in RNAcentral is "partial 16S ribosomal RNA". It matches the Rfam family "Bacterial small subunit ribosomal RNA", at positions 29 to 507 of the family's 1533-position model. The record is from RNAcentral.
AGUGAACGCUGGCGGUAGGCCUAACACAUGCAAGUCGAACGGCAGCACAGUAAGAGCUUGCUCUUACGGGUGGCGAGUGGCGGACGGGUGAGGAAUACAUCGGAAUCUACUUUUUCGUGGGGGAUAACGUAGGGAAACUUACGCUAAUACCGCAUACGACCUACGGGUGAAAGCAGGGGAUCUUCGGACCUUGCGCGAUUGAAUGAGCCGAUGUCGGAUUAGCUAGUUGGCGGGGUAAAGGCCCACCAAGGCGACGAUCCGUAGCUGGUCUGAGAGGAUGAUCAGCCAAACUGGAACUGAGACACGGGCCAGACUCCUACGGGGGGCAGCAGUGGGGAAUAUUGGACAAUGGGCGCAAGCCUGAUCCAGCCAUACCGCGUGGGUGAAGAAGGCCUUCGGGUUGUAAAGCCCUUUUGUUGGGAAAGAAAAGCAGCAGGUUAAUACCCCGCUGUUCUGACGGUACCCAAAGAAUAAGCACCGGCUAACUUCGUG